This is a long non-coding RNA of Armigeres subalbatus, 848 nucleotides long. RefSeq lists it as uncharacterized. NCBI's taxonomy places the organism in Eukaryota, Metazoa, Arthropoda, Insecta, Diptera, Culicidae. The record is from RefSeq and is a predicted model, not a curated record. The transcript is spliced from 3 exons.
GCCAACGACUAUCUGUCAGUGGCUGAUGUGAAAAAACCGCAAAAUUAUAACUCAUCGAAUCGUUGACCGUUUCGCGAUUCCCUUAAAUUAUUAUUAAAAAACAAUCUACUCUUGAUCCGAAGGACGUAAAGUAGUGGUCAUUCCGCGCGUGUGCGAGUGGCAAGGUGCCGCUUCUAGAAAAGUUCCAUCAGGCGCGGAUCUGGACGUUCGUGUGUUGUGAUAGUGGAGGGCCCAGUUUUCUCCGAAUCCUGAACGGACUUUCGAGUGCUUCUACCCAAAAUCGCCGCUAAGAUUCAUCGCUCAACAACAGCAGUCCUCCGAAGAACCAAUCUACAAGCAGUCACCGAAAGCCUCCUACCGCCAAAGGCCAAGUCAAUGUGAUAUCAUGAAAGAUGUACUGUCCGAAUGCGCAUAGGAAACCCAUCCCAUUUGCGUCAGAGAAAGCCAGCAUCUGAAGUUUUCUCCGUGCAGAAUUAACAAAUAUAGAAGUGUUGAGAGUAGAAGCCGAGCAGAGUAAAAACGCCGAAGGAUCUGUUUUCCUAUGGUUGACCAUCCUUCAUGCCGGUAUGACUCGUACAUGGACAAAACCUUGGUCAAAGAUCUAUUUGGUAAUCGCCACAUCCAGGGCAAAUUUAUAACCCCGAAAAAAAAAGUGUUUGGAUCGUCCGCAAUAUAAUACCGAAGAACGAACAUAGCUGAGCGUUGCCGGCCGCAAUGGUGCUUCAUGGUGAGCUGGAGUCAGGAGCAUGCAUUCUCAAACGAGGGCACACCAUCAUUAUUGCAUCGCUGCAAUGCUCGGAAAACCCCAAACAGACAGCUGCGAUCAUCAACACAACGGGUAGAUACGG